Long non-coding RNA from Haliotis rubra (blacklip abalone), 2087 nucleotides. RefSeq lists it as uncharacterized. Lineage: Eukaryota; Metazoa; Mollusca; Gastropoda; Lepetellida; Haliotidae. The record is from RefSeq and is a predicted model, not a curated record. The transcript has 3 exons.
UAUACCAUACAUGUAUUGUAUGUAACCUCCUACAUAACAUUACAACAUAUUUUACAAGAGAAAGAAGAUGAAUUUGAAGAGGAGUUAUCAUACAUUCAGCUAAACACAUGCCUGUGUUUCAUCGAAUCCUUCCAACCCAUUAAAUAUGUUUGUCGUUUCACACAACACCCAGCAAUAUUGAAGCCAUAUGAAAGGGGCUACAAAUAAUUUUGUUGGGACCAGUGAAACCAGUGACUGACAUCGCAAGUACUGCGCAAUGUGGAUUUGAUGACAUGUAACAACCAACUGAGCGAACCUGACUACUUUAUCAUGUCAGUCACAUGUUGCGACAAACAUCCAUGUGUUGCUUAAGACCAAACCUCAAGUUACAUAUUGGGUAAUCACAACAUAGUGCUCGUCCUCUCUCUCUCUCUCUCUCUGUCUCUCUCUCUCUCUCUCUCUCUCUCUCUCUCUCUCUCUCUCUCUCUCUCUCUCUCUCUCUCUCUCUCUCUACAUGUCAUUUCACACCCAUACUAAGGUCUGUGACGUAUUUAUGCAUAGAAGCAAUCAUUUAUACAAUAAACAUUCAAAGCAUGAAAUAUAUACGUAUACACCCUGUAAACAUAGAGUUGCUUUAAGUAGCACAAUACCAUACAAACCUGUCGUUGUGCAUCCAGUUUGCCUUAGCUGUCUGAUGUUUAACGCAGUGGGAAGCAAGGUAAGUACACAUUCUUAUCUUCACAAACAUAUAUCAUGAACACAUGUAUUUUCAAUACUUAGUACACUUCAAAUGUGAUAUAUCUUCAUUUUUCAAGACGUUUCCGAUGUCUGGAUCUUGAGGUUCAGUGAAGCAUUCAAUUGUGUCAGGAUCAUCUCUCAAACAUUUGUGUUAAUUUAAUGUGAUUUGUAAAUACAAUACAAAAUAUUAUUAUUUUCUAUUUUCGUAUUGAUUUUAUGUGUACGUAUAUUAGUAUUUGUAACAGCAAUAUUAUUGACAACGUUCAAAAGGGGAAUUCCACAAAAUAUAUUAAUAGAAACUUCAGUAAAGGGCCACAAAGUGUAUCAUUUUCAAGAUAGUACAGGGAUGGUCAAAGAAGCCUCAAAACGCAACAAACAAUUUCCAUUUCAUAUGACAUAAUAGCCCCAAUAUUUCCGUACACCUCUUUCGAUUUCAACUUGACAACUUGUCUGUUACUCGGCCUCAAUGCAAACUGAUUUGAAGCGCAAUGUUUACAUGAACGUAUCUAUCCCCCAAAAUAAGAUAACGGCACUUUCAUAAUGUAUCAUAAUGCAUCUGAACUGGUUUUUAUUGGACUACUAAAUAUUAAUAAAUUGUUGAAAGUCAAUGCAAUACAUACAAGCUAUUGCUGAUCGGAUAUGAGGCGCUCCACAUCGGUAUUUAAGCACAUGUUGAACGUGUAUUCGUGUCGUGCGACUCGUGGUGACACUUUAUUUAUACCCGUGCAAAGUAAUACCGGGCAUAUCAUUUCCGGUUCGUCGAAUUCUGUUAAUUAAUUAAAGCCGUUAUUAUUUACACAUCCCAAAAAUUCAGUGUUACGUGCGAUCUUCAUAUUCUAUUACCACUGUAUUUCUCAAAUGCCUUUAUCUUCAAGAUUGUCUCCAUGCAAGUUUUGACUCGACCCGACAUCGAGAAAAUAAUCUAAAAAUACACUUAAGUUAAGCUACAUGAUGAUAAAUUGACUUUUUCGGAAGUUAUAAUAAUUAUUACUUUUUUUCGUGCAAUUAAAAUUAAUGUAGUCAAUAAGAAUAAUUCCGCCUGCAAUAAUAAGUGGAGCCGAUGUGAAUGACUGAUCAGCACAAACGGCAGCCAUCACAGCCGAGUCGGGACAGGCGUGGGAUGGUCGCUGUGCAUUUGGAUACUACUAACAUGUAUUGUGACGCUUGGCAGAGCUGAUUUCGUAAUAAUUCUGUUAAGUAUUGCUAUUAUUGUUUAUGAAGAUUGUUUAUUUGUGGAAUAAGUGCACGUUUACGACGCAUUGCAGCUUUUAUUUUAUGCCAUUUUCCAACUUGUAAAGCCCGCUCAUAGCGAGACGGGGAAUCCCGUGACGUCAUUAGGAAGCCUAAUUUCAUCUGACAGUAGAUUGAUU